CUUAGGAAGUGGCAAAACAGCUUUGGAAAUACUUGUGCAUGCUUUGAAUGAACUAGGACUGUAUAACUUUUAAAAAUGUAUUUGCACAUUGUUAUAUCCUUACACAUGCAACAAAAAUGCACAGAAAUUAUUAUUUUUAUAUGCAGGCUUAACUGAAAGCCAUCAUUUAAUAUGUCAUGAACACAGUGUAUAGCCGUGAGCUUAACUAAAAAACCUACAGGAAAAAAACUGUGCACAACCAAAAGUAUUGUGAAACGUUUGGCGGGAAAAUGGCACAUAAAUAUCUAUAUGGAUGACCUUUUGUUCCUUAGGAAUUUACCAGUGAUUCCAAUAGAGAUGUUGCAUGGACCGUGAGGAUAUGGGAAUGUUGAUUAAAAAUGCUAUACUUUGACAUCUGAACAAUAACUUAUCAUCAGAGUCAUCAGUGAUUCGCAUUGCAGGAAGAACUUUACUACAAACAAAAACGUGGGGGCAGGCACUAUGCACGUCAUUAUCAUAAUGGAGCACUUGACAAAAACACAUGCAUUGAUGCUGAUUUUAUGCCUGCAUCUUUGCUGUGCACUACAAAAUGGAAAGUGCAACUUUACAGUGGCAAUGGUGCAUACUGCUGGAAAAGUCACUUGCUUCAAGAUGAUGGAUGGACAUGUCCCAAUUUGCAUGUCUGGUGGUCAAACAUCUCAAUCAUGUGACAUUGCGUACAAAGAUGGGAUGACGUGUAUAAAGUGGCCAGCAGACAUCGAACUCACAUGUGUGAACGAUUCUGAUGAGAUGCAUAAGCUCAAUAUUGAAGAAAACAAGUGUGCCCAUGACCAAGAAUGUGAGUCAAAAGCAGUCAUUUUUUAUUUAGUUAUAAUGUACUUCAUCAUGAAGUAGGUAUUUAUUGAAUGUUUAUAUUUCUUUAAGCUAUUAGUUGCAAUGGAGAGUACAAAUCUGGUAAGUUUAUUUAAUCAAAGUUUUUUUGAUUAAUUUAAGCUCAUGUUUUUUAAACAAACAAAUUGCAUGACUGCACCCUGAAGUCAAUUAAUUGUUUUUUCCCCCAGAGCUUAGAAAUUCUGCAUCAACCCUGUCAUUGAGUAAGAAUGCAAAACAAUUAUAUGCUACAAGUUUGCAUCCAUCAUAAAAGAAUUCCACAUGUUCAUAUAUUGUAUGUAAACUAUUGAUCCUUUUGUUUUUUGCAGGCAUUCUUCUAAUUACUACCAUUGUCCACUGGGUGUCACUAUGGCACUACUAAUAUAGUAAUAUAGUGUAUAGUUCUGAGACACAUUACUCAAACUUAAAAAUAAUAAUAACAAUAAUAAUGUGUUCGAAUAAACCAUUUUUAUAUAUAUAUAAAAAAACUAUG
Long non-coding RNA from Cyprinus carpio (common carp), 1342 nucleotides. Lineage: Eukaryota; Metazoa; Chordata; Actinopteri; Cypriniformes; Cyprinidae. The record is from Ensembl.